Panicum virgatum (switchgrass) is the source of this 1718-nucleotide RNA transcript. It is a transcript of the gene named 3-oxoacyl-[acyl-carrier-protein] synthase, mitochondrial-like, with no coding region annotated. The transcript is spliced from 6 exons. The record is from RefSeq and is a predicted model, not a curated record. Lineage: Eukaryota; Viridiplantae; Streptophyta; Magnoliopsida; Poales; Poaceae.
CUUCCCCCGAACCGGGCAGCCAGCCUCCGCCUCCACCUCCUGCCGCGCCCGUUCUCAUCUCCCCCGCCCCUCUCCCUCCCUACAGAUCACCCGCCGCCAGCCACCACAUCUGCCCCCCACUGACCCGCAGCCACUAGAUCGUCCCCAAGGCCAGCAGCUCCGGCCACCACGAACCCAGAUCCGGUAGCACGGGCUCACGCCCAGGCGUUCGUGUGCUGCGGUCACCUCGGUGGUGAUGGGCUCUGGAGACGCACGGGCGCGGCAACUGAGUGUUGUGUGACACGGCGACCAGUUCUCCUAGCGUGUGGAUCUCGGCGUCCUGCGGCCAGCCCCCGAGCUAUGGCUUGCGAUGCAGCGGCGGACUUCCAAGCGCUUCCGUCCGCCGCACGUUGGAGGCCAAAUCCCGCGAGAUUUGUUUGAGGAAAUUGUUGCUAGGACAUUUGUGGGCAGCUUUGGCUUGAUCCUCUCUCAAAUCUGUCACGGAUUCGGCUUGGAUUUGGAGUUUUCCCCAAAACCGAGUUCUUCGUAGGGUUUCGGUUGACUCCAAAAUUUGUGAUGGAUGCUUGAGCUUUUCGUCAGAUUCUUCGUGGAUCUAUUUUUCCUUGGGGCAGUGAAUCUAUGGCUCAAGUUUUGCUUCGAUUUGUUGUGAUUUGGGAAAGCAAUUUUGAUUCGAAGCUUUGCUAGCUCUCAUGUUCUUCCCCAUGGACAGGGAGAGCCUCACGGAGGCCACGUCGGGGGCAAUCGGCGCGCUCGUCAGCACCAUCGUGCUCUACCCGCUCGACACGUGCAAGACCAAGCUCCAGGCCGAGCUCCAGACGCACCAGGGCAUGCACAAGUACAGUAAGGAUCUCGCUUGCAUUCCAAGGUUUUCUGCUUACAUAUGAUAGUUUUACUUGAAGAACGGAUAACUCUGUGCAGCUGAUGAGGCUUUGAAGAUGCAAAUUGGUUGCCUUCAGAAGAUGAGAAGAAAGAAAAAACGGGAGUCUAUUGGUGGAGGGAUUGGAAGCAUCUCAAACAUUUUAGAUGCAUCACAAAUGACAUUGAAAAUAUCUCCCAUACUUCAUACCACAGAUUUUGAUCAACAUGGCAUCAGGCCACGUCAGCAUGGGAUAUGGUUUCCAGAUGAACUUCCUUGUUACCAUUAGGCAUAACUAUGGUUAUUGUCAAAUGAAUGUUAAUAGGAAUAGUUAUGCUUCUAACUUAGCGUCUAAACCAUGCUGCUGUGACAGCUUGUGCGACCGCUGCUCAAGCUAUUUGUGAUGCUACACGGAUGAUUCUAUUUGGAGAUGCCGAUGUGAUGGUGGCUGGUGGAACAGAGUCCACUAUCGAUGCUUUGUCUAUAGGUGGAUUUUCUAGGCAAGUUAAGGCCAUUUGUCUAACAUACAGAUCCAAAAUCCCAUCUUGAUUUUGUGCAAGGUUGCAGAUCCGUCGGUUCCUGGGUUCUUAGCGUGCUGCUGGUAUGCAAAUAAUUAAACUGAGAUGGAUACAAUACUGGAGGAACUUUUUGCUGCUGCUAAAGUUUUGCGGCUGUACUGGUGGUUUUUGUUGUUUCUAGUGUGUGGUCAAAGAAUGCUGAUAUCUAACUAUUAUUCUUUCUGGUGCUAUCUGUAUGCUGUGGUGAACUCUUUUCACCCCGGAUGAUCUGACAUUUCUGUUGCUGGAACAAAGCUGUAUUAUUGUAUGAUUUUCUGUGAAAUUAGCUGUUGUAAUUCUAUGUA